RNAcentral lists this ribosomal RNA (253 nucleotides) under uncultured bacterium. RNAcentral's name for it is "partial 16S ribosomal RNA". It matches the Rfam family "Bacterial small subunit ribosomal RNA", at positions 524 to 776 of the family's 1533-position model. The record is from RNAcentral.
UACGGAGGAUGCAAGCGUUAUCCGGAAUUAUUGGGCGUAAAGCGUCCGCAGGUGGCUAUGUAAGUCUGCUGUUAAAGAGUGAGGCUCAACCUCAUAAAAGCAGUGGAAACUACAUGGCUAGAGUGCGUUCGGGGCAGAGGGAAUUCCUGGUGUAGCGGUGAAAUGCGUAGAUAUCAGGAAGAACACCGGUGGCGAAAGCGCUCUGCUAGGCCGCAACUGACACUGAGGGACGAAAGCUAGGGGAGCGAAUGGG